UUUAUGGAGAGUUUGAUCCUGGCUCAGGAUGAACGCUGGCGGCGUGCCUAAUACAUGCAAGUCGAGCGAACAGAUAAGGAGCUUGCUCCUUUGACGUUAGCGGCGGACGGGUGAGUAACACGUGGAUAACCUACCUAUAAGACUGGGAUAACUUCGGGAAACCGGAGCUAAUACCGGAUAACAUAUUGAACCGCAUGGUUCAAUAGUGAAAGGCGGCUUUGCUGUCACUUAUAGAUGGAUCCGCGCCGUAUUAGCUAGUUGGUAAGGUAACGGCUUACCAAGGCAACGAUACGUAGCCGACCUGAGAGGGUGAUCGGCCACACUGGAACUGAGACACGGUCCAGACUCCUACGGGAGGCAGCAGUAGGGAAUCUUCCGCAAUGGGCGAAAGCCUGACGGAGCAACGCCGCGUGAGUGAUGAAGGUCUUCGGAUCGUAAAACUCUGUUAUCAGGGAAGAACAAAUGUGUAAGUAACUGUGCACAUCUUGACGGUACCUGAUCAGAAAGCCACGGCUAACUACGUGCCAGCAGCCGCGGUAAUACGUAGGUGGCAAGCGUU
Molecule: ribosomal RNA, 559 nt
Filed under: Staphylococcus warneri
Lineage: Bacteria; Bacillati; Bacillota; Bacilli; Caryophanales; Staphylococcaceae
Description: bacterial SSU rRNA
Rfam family: Bacterial small subunit ribosomal RNA
Source: RNAcentral